UUGACCUCAAAUCAGGUAGGACUACCCGCUGAACUUAAGCAUAUCAAUAAGCGGAGGAAAAGAAACUAACAAGGAUUCCCCUAGUAACUGCGAGUGAAGCGGGAAGAGCUCAAAUUUGAAAUCUGGCAGUUGUCAGCUGUCCGAGUUGUAAUCUAGAGAAGUGU
RNAcentral lists this ribosomal RNA (164 nucleotides) under Inocybe magnifolia. Its description in RNAcentral is "partial 25S large subunit ribosomal RNA". It matches the Rfam family "Eukaryotic large subunit ribosomal RNA", at positions 1 to 161 of the family's 3401-position model. Lineage: Eukaryota; Fungi; Basidiomycota; Agaricomycetes; Agaricales; Inocybaceae. The record is from RNAcentral.